Long non-coding RNA from Coffea arabica (coffee), 467 nucleotides. RefSeq lists it as uncharacterized. NCBI's taxonomy places the organism in Eukaryota, Viridiplantae, Streptophyta, Magnoliopsida, Gentianales, Rubiaceae. The record is from RefSeq and is a predicted model, not a curated record.
ACACCAUCAAAAGAUUCUUAAAGCCUGUCCUGUCGUCCCCUGCUCCCCCUCUCUCCUCUUUAAGGCCACUCAAACCAACCUAGCCACAUUAUAGAUGAUUUUCAUCCAAAAGAAAAAUGAAAAAAUCGCACAGGAAAAAUUGGAUUGAAGACCAUGAUUACUGCUUCAUCAAAAUCAGAGAGCACUCGUUGUCAAAGCAUUUUGGUUUGUGCCAAGAAAGGAGCAAAGCAAAAUUGGAAAUUGAUGUUAUUCAAGCUCCUAAGCAGCGAAACUCUCAAGUCCAUUUAUUCUGCAGAAGUCCAAGUCGAGCAUCUCAGGUUAAGUUGAAGCUUCUACCACCAGGUCCGUCCAGUACGCAUACCUUGAAGCUCUCAUUGCUGCAAUGGUGCGUAUACUAUAUGCAUCCGUGUAUUAAAAAUCUGAAACAGUAACAUUUUCAUGAACAAUUGAUAUUAAUGUUGUUUCGA